GUCAGGACGUGCGAAAAGCGACGGCGCAGCACGGUGCGGCGCAGCUCCUGCUCGCCUUUCCCUUCGCUGGGCGAGAGGUGUCUAUGGGGCACCCGCUGCCGCCGCCGCUACCGCCACCGCCACCGCCACCGCCGCCGAGUGCUGUCUCUAUGGCGAGGAGGAGGAGGAGGAGCGCGAGCUCAGCGACACAAGUACAUAAAUAAAGGAUAAAAUAUUUUAUGAAACAAAUCUUCAAUCAAGUAUAACAUUUUGAUGCUUGGCAUCUAGACUCCCUUGUGCCCUCACUAUGCCAGCGGCAACUGUAGAUCAUAGCCAAAGAAUUUGUGAAGUUUGGGCUUGCAACUUGGAUGAAGAGAUGAAGAAAAUUCGUCAAGUUAUCCGAAAAUAUAAUUACGUUGCUAUGGUAUGCCCACAAGCAGAUCUUUAAAACGCUUCAUAUAAAGGAGGAAAAGGAAAUUUUAAAGUCUUGAAUUCAACCCUUUUGGUUGAUAUUUUUAGGGAUUAAUUUCACCAUGAAAAGUAAAAUUUGUCACUGCCCUCCAGCCAAAAUCCAUCAGGAAUACACCUGUGAUUUGACAGGUUGGGUUUAUCCCUCAUUGCAGUGAGGGAAAACGCACUGGAAUUCAUGGGAACCAUGGGCCGUUUGAAUAAGAGUUAGGAAGGAUUUGGGCUCGUGUCAGGUGGUCUUAGGGGAAGGUA
RNAcentral lists this long non-coding RNA (699 nucleotides) under Homo sapiens (human). Its description in RNAcentral is "non-protein coding lnc-MTMR7-2:1". The record is from RNAcentral. Lineage: Eukaryota; Metazoa; Chordata; Mammalia; Primates; Hominidae.